RNAcentral lists this ribosomal RNA (508 nucleotides) under uncultured bacterium. RNAcentral's name for it is "bacterial SSU rRNA". It matches the Rfam family "Bacterial small subunit ribosomal RNA", at positions 29 to 518 of the family's 1533-position model. The record is from RNAcentral.
AAUGAACGCUGGCGGCGCGCCUAAUACAUGCAAGUCGAGCGAGAAGACGUAGCAAUACGUUUGUAAAGCGGCGAACGGGUGAGGAAUACAUGGGUAACCUACCCUAGAGUGGGGAAUAACUAGCCGAAAGGUUAGCUAAUACCGCGUACGCUCCUUGGACUUCGGUUCAGGGAGGAAAGCGAUGCCGAGGGUAUCGCGCUCUUGGAUGGGCUCAUGUCCUAUCAGCUUGUUGGCGGGGUCACGGCCCACCAAGGCGACGACGGGUAGCUGGUCUGAGAGGAUGAUCAGCCACAUUGGGACUGAGACACGGCCCAGACUCCUACGGGAGGCGGCAGUGGGGAAUAUUGCGCAAUGGCCGCAAGGCUGACGCAGCGACGCCGCGUGUGGGAUGACGGUCUUCGGAUUGUAAACCACUGUCAGGGGGAACGAAUACCAGGCGUCGAAUAGGCGACCGUGGGGUGACGGUACCUCCAAAGGAAGCACCGGCUAACUCCGUGCCAGCAGCCCC